Molecule: long non-coding RNA, 1338 nt
Filed under: Urocitellus parryii (Arctic ground squirrel)
Lineage: Eukaryota; Metazoa; Chordata; Mammalia; Rodentia; Sciuridae
Description: lncRNA (ENSUPAG00010019324.1)
Source: RNAcentral
AGCAGCUGUUGAGUCAGAAGGCUCCAGACUCAAGAAGAGAGAGUGUCUUAGGCGCAAGAGCAGACACUGUGGGAACUCCAAGACAUGCAUGAGCCUGUCUUCUCUGAGCUGUUCAUUAGAAUCCCUAUCACUGGCAUUAACAAGGGAAAGGAUGGACCCUAUGCCAGGCCCUAUUAAUGGGAAAAUGGUGAAGACAGAAAGAAAUGGCAUUCUGGAACCAGAUAAACCUGACUUCAAAUCCAAGACCUUGGGCAGGUCAGAGCCUCCAACUUCCUGUGAACUGAAACUAGGACACCUGCCUCCUGGUCCUAGUGGACCAUUCCAUACAGAAGGGGGGCUGCCUGCUGGGUGGAUAAAAACAUAAAAUUAGAUCAUGGGGAUGGAUGCACAAUGUGAACAUAUUAAAAGCACUGAACUGUACUUAAUAAUGAAGUUGCAUUCUGAGAAAUAGUGCUUACACAAGCUAAGAUGGCAAUGACACCACCAGACAAUAUAAUCUGAGGGGACCCGCCUCAUAUAUGCAUGCAGUCCAUUGUUGACCACACAUUUGUUUGUUAGGUAGCACAUAACUAUACUUUGAAUAGAGUAUGGUUCCAGACAGGUCAGUAAAGGGCAGUUCUGACUCUGGAGACAGGCAGAGGAGGGAGGGGACCCCUCAUGAUGUGCUGAGCUCAGCUGYUCUCCUCUGGGUCUCCUGCUUCCCAGAGAGCCAAGUAUAAGACCUCAGGGCACUGGGCACUGACUCUGGCAUCCUCCUCCAUUCACUGCAGAGAGCAGUGCAAUGAAUCCAAGGCCAAAGCUAGGCCAAUGUGCAACAACCUGCCCGCCAUGGCAGGAUCCUGAGAGGGUGGUAGCAGGAUACAGACCUGCUAGCUACAGCAACUACAAUAGAAUCUGAGGGAAAACUAUUCUCACUUGAAAAUGUCCUAUACAUUGCAACCAUGGGUACCAGCCAUGCACCUGUGAUCUGUCCCCUUGCAGAAUACCACCAGCAGAUUUACUGCCAAGCCGUUAUGGAGGCAAAGUCCAGGAGUAGGGCGGGUACUCUGAUGCUCCUGCCCCAUUGUGAUAGUCAACCUGGCUGGCUCUCCAUGUAUGUGUGCUCUCCUAGAGCCUGAGGAUAGGCAACAGGGGAUGAGGCAGAGAGAUGACAGAAAAGACAGGGCCCAAAGGGAUGUUCUGAAAUUCCAGUUCCACAGAGUCUGCCAAAGCAGUGUUUCUCAGAUUUUCUGGUCUCGGGACUCCUUUACAUUUGAUUACUGAGGACCACAAAUAGAUUUUGGUUUUUUUGAGCUAUUAUCUAUGAAUAAAAUAUUAGAAAUACAAAAUAAGGAACCA